AGAGUGAACGCUGGCGGCAGGCCUAAUACAUGCAAGUCGAACGGCAGCACGGCAGAGCUUGCUCUGUGGGUGGCGAGUGGCGGACGGGUGAGGAAUACAUGGGAAUCUGCCCAGUCGUGGGGGAUAACGUAGGGAAACUUACGCUAAUACCGCAUGCGCCCUUCGGGGGAAAGCCGGGGACCUUCGGGCCUGGCGCGAUUGGAUGAGCCCAUGUCGGAUUAGCUAGUUGGCGGGGUAACGCCCACCAAGGCGACGAUCCGUAGCUGGUCUGAGAGGAUGAUCAGCCACACUGGAACUGAGACACGGUCCAGACUCCUACGGGAGCAGCAGUAGGGAAUAUUGGACAAUGGGCGCAAAGCCUGAUCCAGCCAUGCCGCGUGAGUGAAGAAGGCCUUGGUAGUAAGCUCGUUUGACCGAAAGAAAGCUUACGGUACAAGUACCCCGAGUCC
Molecule: ribosomal RNA, 449 nt
Filed under: uncultured soil bacterium
Lineage: Bacteria
Description: bacterial SSU rRNA
Rfam family: Bacterial small subunit ribosomal RNA
Source: RNAcentral